UGCCAGCCGCCGCGGUAAUACAUAUGUCCCGAGUGUUACCCGGAAUAAUUGGGUGUAAAGGGUUCGUAGGCGGAUAAGAAAGUUGGACAUGAAAGACCGAGGCUCAACCUCGUGUUUGUAUCCAAAACUCCUUAUCUAGAAUUAGGGAGAGGUAAGCGGAAUUCUAAGUGUAGGGGUGCAAUCCGUAGAUACUUAGAGGAACACCGAAAGCGAAGGCAGCUUACUGGAACUAUAUUGACGCUGAUGAGCGAAAGCGUGGGUAGCGAAAAGGAUUCGAUA
This 279-nucleotide ribosomal RNA is filed under the name uncultured bacterium. RNAcentral describes it as "partial 16S ribosomal RNA". It matches the Rfam family "Bacterial small subunit ribosomal RNA", at positions 506 to 784 of the family's 1533-position model. The record is from RNAcentral.